UACGGAGGGUGCAAGCGUUAUCCGGAUUCACUGGGUUUAAAGGGUGCGUAGGCGGGCAGGUAAGUCAGUGGUGAAAUCCCCGAGCUCAACUUGGGAAUUGCCGUUGAUACUAUCUGUCUUGAAUAUCGUGGAGGUGAGCGGAAUAUGUCAUGUAGCGGUGAAAUGCUUAGAUAUGACAUAGAACACCCAUUGCGAAGGCAGCUCACUACACGAUAAUUGACGCUGAGGCACGAAAGCGUGGGGAGCAAACAGG
This 253-nucleotide ribosomal RNA is filed under the name uncultured bacterium. Its description in RNAcentral is "partial 16S ribosomal RNA". It matches the Rfam family "Bacterial small subunit ribosomal RNA", at positions 524 to 776 of the family's 1533-position model. The record is from RNAcentral.